This 421-nucleotide ribosomal RNA is filed under the name uncultured bacterium. Its description in RNAcentral is "bacterial SSU rRNA". It matches the Rfam family "Bacterial small subunit ribosomal RNA", at positions 356 to 774 of the family's 1533-position model. The record is from RNAcentral.
GAGGAAUAUUGGUCAAUGGGCGCGAGCCUGAACCAGCCAAGUAGCGUGAAGGAUGACUGCCCUAUGGGUUGUAAACUUCUUUUAUAAGGGAAUAAAGUGAGGCACGUGUGCCUUAUUGUAUGUACCUUAGGAAUAAGCAUCGGCUAACUCCGUGCCAGCAGCCGCGGUAAUACGAAGGGUGCAAGCGUUACUCGGAAUUACUGGGCGUAAAGCGUGCGUAGGUGGUGGUUUAAGUCCGUUGUGAAAGCCCUGGGCUCAACCUGGGAACUGCAGUGGAUACUGGAUCACUAGAGUGUGGCAGAGGGUAGUGGAAUUCCCGGUGUAGCAGUGAAAUGCGUAGAGAUCGGGAGGAACAUCAGUGGCGAAGGCGACUGCCUGGACCAACACUGACACUGAGGCACGAAAGCGUGGGGAGCAAACA